RNAcentral lists this ribosomal RNA (422 nucleotides) under uncultured bacterium. RNAcentral's name for it is "partial 16S ribosomal RNA". It matches the Rfam family "Bacterial small subunit ribosomal RNA", at positions 360 to 774 of the family's 1533-position model. The record is from RNAcentral.
AAUCUUUCGCAAGGGGCGAGACGCUGAUCCAGCUAUCCCGCGAGUAUGAUGAAGGCCUUCGGGUUGUAAAGUACUUUGUGCAGCGGAGAAAAGGUACCUCCUAAUACGAGGUACUGCUGACGGUAUCUGCAGAAUAAGCACCGGCUAACUACGUGUCAGCAGCCGCGGUAAUACGUAGGGUGCAAGCGUUAAUCUGAAUUACUGGCCGUAAAGAGUGUGUAGGCGGUUCGGAAAGAAAGAUGUGAAAACCAAGGGCUCAACCAUGGAACUACAUAUUUAACUGCCGAGCUAGAGUAUGUCAGAGGGGGGUAGAAUUCCACGUGUAGCAGUGAAAUGCGUAGAUAUGUGGAGGAAUACCGAUGGCGAAGGCAGCCCCCUGGGAUAAUACUGACGAUCAGACACGAAAGCGUGGGAAGCAAACA